RNAcentral lists this ribosomal RNA (426 nucleotides) under uncultured Lysobacteraceae bacterium. RNAcentral's name for it is "bacterial SSU rRNA". It matches the Rfam family "Bacterial small subunit ribosomal RNA", at positions 356 to 774 of the family's 1533-position model. Lineage: Bacteria; Pseudomonadati; Pseudomonadota; Gammaproteobacteria; Lysobacterales; Lysobacteraceae. The record is from RNAcentral.
GGGGAAUAUUGGACAAUGGGCGCAAGCCUGAUCCAGCCAUACCGCGUGGGUGAAGAAGGUCUUCGGGUUGUAAAGCCCUUUUGUUGGGAAAGAAAUCCAGCCGGCUAAUACCUGGUUGGGAUGACGGUACCCAAAGAAUAAGCACCGGCUAACUUCGUGCCAGCAGCCGCGGUAAUACGAAGGGUGCAAGCGUUACUCGGAAUUACUGGGCGUAAAGCGUGCGUAGGUGGUGGUUUAAGUCCGUUGUGAAAGCCCUGGGCUCAACCUGGGAACUGCAGUGGAUACUGGAUCACUAGAGUGUGGCAGAGGGUAGUGGAAUUCCCGGUGUAGCAGUGAAAUGCGUAGAGAUCGGGAGGAACAUCAGUGGCGAAGGCGACUGCCUGGGCCAACACUGACACUGAGGCACGAAAGCGUGGGGAGCAAACA